Small nucleolar RNA from Pangasianodon hypophthalmus (striped catfish), 207 nucleotides. RefSeq annotates it as small nucleolar RNA U3. The transcript has a single exon. The record is from RefSeq and is a predicted model, not a curated record. NCBI's taxonomy places the organism in Eukaryota, Metazoa, Chordata, Actinopteri, Siluriformes, Pangasiidae.
AAGUCUAUACUUUCAGGGAUUGUUUCUAUAGUUUUUAACUAGGAAAUAUGAAUUGAAAGUGUUGUGUCUCUCUAAUCACAUUGAUGAGUUCUGAUGUGCUCUUCUGAUUAUGAAUCAGAUUGAUGCUGAUGAUUUUUUCCUGAGUCUUUGAUGAAUGUUCUUCACUUUUUAGUAAGUGUGUGAGGAAGAGUGCAUGAUCAGAAUGUU